CAGCAGCCGCGGGAAUACGUAGGGUGCAAGCGUUAAUCGGAAUUACUGGGCGUAAAGCGUGCGUAGGCGGUUUGUUAAGUCUGUUGUGAAAUCCCCGGGCUCAACCUGGGAAUGGCAAUGGAUACUGGCAAGCUAGAGUGUGUCAGAGGAUGGUGGAAUUCCCGGUGUAGCGGUGAAAUGCGUAGAGAUCGGGAGGAACAUCAGUGGCGAAGGCGGCCAUCUGGGACAACACUGACGCUGAGGCACGAAAACGUGGGGAGCAAACAGGAUUAGAUACCCGUGUAGCCUGUCUCUUAUACAC
RNAcentral lists this ribosomal RNA (301 nucleotides) under uncultured bacterium. RNAcentral describes it as "partial 16S ribosomal RNA". It matches the Rfam family "Bacterial small subunit ribosomal RNA", at positions 509 to 809 of the family's 1533-position model. The record is from RNAcentral.